Molecule: long non-coding RNA, 2003 nt
Organism: Dunckerocampus dactyliophorus (ringed pipefish)
Lineage: Eukaryota; Metazoa; Chordata; Actinopteri; Syngnathiformes; Syngnathidae
Exons: 3
Source: RefSeq, a predicted model, not a curated record
CCAGCAAAGGACUUGAUAUGCUGUACAAGAUACAAGAUAUCAAGGUUGGCAACUCUAAUUGUUACUUUAACUUAAAAAUAAUUGUCAGGCAUGUGUUGGAAGUGAACUACACAAUUUUUUUUUUAGAAUGAUGCAUCUUUAUUUUUCUUCUUGAUUCACAGAAAACCUUUCCUUGAGUCUUACGUGAAUGUGGUAAGUAAUAUCUUUUUUUUUUAAUCAAUGCAUAAUAAGCCCUGCAACUGUGGCAAUUCCAUAUUUAUUUAAUUAUUUUAGUAGGAUGUUUUAUAUUAUUAUUAUUAUUAUUAUAUUUAUUCUUAUUCUCAGAGGUGGAUGGAGAUGUGUAGACUCCACUAUCCCUUCACCCCAGUUAUUGCCAGUUGGUGCGAGCCUCCACUCUUGCCGACUACAUCCCAUUCAUUAGGUUCUACAAUUUAUCCUUCAGCCCACAAGAGGAACCCAACAGAACCAAUGGAUCAGGAUGAAGCAUGACGGAAAGUCGGUGGUGUUUUGAGGGCCAAUCUGAAAGGUGAGGAUAUCUUCAAGGAGUGCAACAAGACUGAAACACUAACCGAUGCAAGGUGUAAACAGAUGGUGAACAUCCUGGCUGCAGAUAUGAUGGAGCUGCAUGGGAGGGUUCCGCCAUCAUGUGUGAUGAGAAAUUACGCCCUGAGAAUUGUGACUUGUUUUCCAUACCUAAAAGAUCCAUUCUCCAAACCUGGAUAUGCAAGUGUCUUUUCAAUGUAAAACCUAAAGUACUGUUUUUGUUUUUCCUUUAGGUGUGUAGUUUGUAUUAAACUCUUGUUUCAAAUAUGUUCAUAGGAUGCUUAGCUUAGCGGCAGUGGCUCAAGAGGUAGAGCAGGUCGUCCAGAAAUCGUAAGGUUGGUUGAUCCUUGCUCCCUCCACCCAGUCACUGUUUUGUCCUACACUUCUCCUGGCUCUCAAAGCCGUUCCAAGACUGUUUCUUCAUGAUGGUCCAAAAACCAGAGGAGAACAUCUGUUAACUGGUCAACAGCUGCUUGGUGAGGAGUGCAAGGAGGCGCUAUCUACAGUAAGACAUUCAAAUGAUGAAUCCGUGGUCGAAGAAGAUGAGAGCAACUUUCCAGUAUCGACAGAAUAUGAUCCAAGCACAAGAUGUAUCAUCGUCUGUUCUCAAUGUGUUCCCUCACUUCCUUGAUGUUCCUGGAUUGGUAAGGAAAUCUUGAGUAUUUGGACUAGUUCCGUAUUAGAUUACCCAUUACAUCAACCAUUUGUAAACCUGUAGGCCUACAGUAUAUGAAAUAUUCAUGUCUUGUUUAUAGAUUGACCAGGAUUUCUCAAUGAUGUUUGGUGAUGAAGUAUCUCAGAGGUUCCUGGCUAAGUGGUCAACUGUCUUCAAACCAAAAGUCAUUGCAGACUUUAAGACUCUCCCGCAAAAGCAGAACAUCGAUGAGUUGCUGUCAGGAACUGAACCUCAACCUGAUGACAUAUGUACUGGAUGUAGCUUUGAUCUACCUGUGUUCAAGAAGAUCUGUGAUAUAAUAAAACACAAAGAAUGUGCUUUCAUAAUAGCCUGUAAUGUAAAAAAACUAUGUACUAUGAGGACCUGUUUAACGCGUACUGCAUAGAAGACCAAAUGCUUGAGUUUUCUGUCAUGUGUUUAAAUGAACUGACUCAUUUCAGACCAUUUGACAAGCAGUACUCUAAUGACAAUUGUCAAAAAGCAAACAUACUGUAGUGCCCUGCUGUUAUUUAAGCUGUCUGUUGGAAAUGAAAUGUUUUGGAAUAAAAUGUAUGAAGCAGUCAACUAGUCAUUUUUAAAAAAUGUUUAAAUUUUAUUUUGAAGUAGUAGAUUAACACCUUUAUAGUGUUAAUGUUGCAACUCCUUUUGAGAGUAAAAUGACACUAUAAGAGUCAAUAAAUGACUCUUAAGAGAAUUAAUUUGUGACACCUCACACUAGUGUUAAAAAAAUGCAACACCGGUUGGUGUCAAGGAGUGUUAAAUUUUAACUAUAUAAAUAGUUAAU